AAGGUAUUGUAUGAGCAAAUGGAAAUAGCGCACCUAAAGCCAAAGGGGUUCAGGAAUGCUGCGUAAGAGCACUUUUCUCCUCAACUGGUUGCCUUCAUUGUUUGCCUUUUUCUGGCAUAAAUUUUUCUCUGCAGUAAUUUUUCUGCCUCAGGCAGGUGGGUGUACUUUAAAUUGCUGGACCAAGUGACAGAAUUUCAGCAUCCUCUUUAACACCUUGCACAUACCUAAAGCAUUUCUGCACCAACAUCUACGUCUCAGACUUCUCAAGCCAACCCUGCUUUGCUGAUACCAAACACUACUCAUUUCAUCCAAACAAUAGAACUACCUGCCUCCAAGUUGAAUUGCUGCACAUAUUCCAAUUUGUACUCAA
This is a long non-coding RNA of Oxyura jamaicensis (ruddy duck), 370 nucleotides long. RefSeq lists it as uncharacterized. Lineage: Eukaryota; Metazoa; Chordata; Aves; Anseriformes; Anatidae. The transcript is spliced from 2 exons. The record is from RefSeq and is a predicted model, not a curated record.